Long non-coding RNA from Oenanthe melanoleuca, 2828 nucleotides. RefSeq lists it as uncharacterized. Lineage: Eukaryota; Metazoa; Chordata; Aves; Passeriformes; Muscicapidae. The record is from RefSeq and is a predicted model, not a curated record. The transcript is spliced from 3 exons.
ACCCGGGACGAGCAUCCCCCACAGUGAGCGGAGCGGCGCGGAUCCGCCGGCAUUUAUGGGCGGGGCCGCACAGGUGUGAGGGGCGGGGCCGCACAGGUGCGCGGGGCCCCAGCGCGGCUGCGCGGGGCGGGGCCGAGCGGAUUUAAACCCCGGGAAUGGGCUGUGGAGCCAUUUGCCCGUCGGCGCUCGGAGCGGGAGGCUGCUCCGGCCCGAGCUCCAUACUUUUCUCAUUUCUUCCCUUCUAGGAGAUACACAGGGCAGGGCUGCACUGCACCCCCAAUCUGAGAACUGGGAGAAAAGACAAAUCCAGACUGACAUUCCUGGGAGAUUGGUGCAGCUUCUGCCAGCCAGAACAAUCCUUUCAUCUAUGGCUCUCCUCUCGCAGUGGAGGACGAAGACUAGAAGCAAUUUGAGAAAUGGGCUAUAAUUCAUCCUGUGCACACAGUAAGGGAGAGAAUGAGGAAAAACAGAAUAACAAAAAACCCAAAACCCCACCCAAUCAAGAAGCUUUUUCCAAAACAAAGUGGGGACUUGAUGUCAACAAAAAAUUUUGUGGAUUCCAGUCUGCUCAUGCAAAAAAAAAAAAAAAAAAAACAACCAACAAAACCACAUGGGGAAACCAAAGGAAAGAGUCAGAGAAGAGACAAUCUCUUCCUCUGUUUUUGAUCAGUCCGUUUAGUUUUCACUUAAGUUCAUGUAAGAUGUCCUUCACCUGAAAGGUCUCUGAUUUGAAAUACAAAAUCACUUCUUGGGCUGUGUUAAAUCCCAGGCUGCUCUCUCACCCUUGCUGUCUUUGCUGCUGCUGGGCACCCACCUCCAGACUGCAGGAACCCCCUGAACCCAGGAGAGGUCCUCAGAGCCUGCUGCCAGAUCCUGCAAAAGCUGCAGUGUCACAGCUUCCACUGAGAGAAGAGAGGUCUGCUUCACCAUUACUCAUCAAAAGAAUCCAGUCUCAUAUGCAUGGAUAUGCAGAAAGUCCUGGCUCCUGCAGAAUCACAGCCUGUUUUAGGUGGCCUUCAGCCCUGAUUCACAAUGACAGCUGGACAGCAGAGGUGUGAAAAUACAGGCAGCUACACCAACACUUACAGGCUCCUGUGCUGGGGAGUCACUCAGCUCAUUCUUCCAAAAAAUAUUUUGAAUGGCUCUGGAAUUACUUCUCCCAGCAGUGGGACAAACUGAUGUGGAGCAGAUCAGAGUGACAGCAUUAAAGCAAGUGCACAAAAUUCUGUUCACAGCUUACUUGGAGAAGGGGAGUACAGGACACAGAAUGAAUCCUCAUUCUGACGUUUAAACAUUUUUUCUUUCAAAUGAACCAUCAGAAAUAAAACCUCAUGAAAUAUAAAGUAUUAAAAAACCCUAUUUCCUGCUUCCCUUAUAUGCAGUAUCCCUAUAGGAUUUUAAGAGGCAAGCUUAACUUACAUGGUUCACAGUUGGUGCUGCUGUUUUUGGGAAAAGCCAGAUGUGGAACGGUGGGGAGAAGGAAUUAAGAGAGGAAGAGCUGCAACAAAACACAGCUGGUGACCAAUGCCAAGUCUCCCUCAGAAACUUGCCACAAAAGCAUUUACACAUACAUGUUUUUGUAUUUUUCCAUCUAGGAGUGGUUUGCAGCAAUGCAUAAAACCAGGACACAAUUACUGCAGUCUAGCUGAUGUCACAAAUGGUUACACAUGAGGAACCAUGAGAGGAGACAGAACUUCACCUCCUUACCCUCCCCUGCCCUAAUUUAAGCAUCUGCAUCCAUCCUCAGAUGUCUGAAUAUGUAACCCAGACACUGGAGGAGCAACUUUCUGAAAGUUUGGAUGCUCUUUAUAUACCACAACUCCAAAAAGUUGAUCUUAAUUAUUUGUAAUAAAUUUAAGUGUACUCUCAAAUGAAGAAUGAAAGCCAAAAACUGCUACCUAUAAUUAUGGAAAACCAAAGCAUGUCCUGAGCUCUAAACUUUUUUGGUACAUUACCAAAUCAUCUCUAUAGGGUGGGAAAGGAGGUAGGAAAGCAAAUCUUUUAUUGCAAAGCUGUACCAUUAGGCAGAACAAAUGGUCAUCUUGGAAUUCUCUUAAAAAAGAAAGGUAUUUUUUGAUGAACAAAUUUAAUCAAUAAUUCUAAAAAGCCACAUGAACAGGUUAUCAGAAGUGGGAAUUAGAUAUGAGGCAAGUAGAAAUUAAAUCCCAAAUACAGCUACACUGUUAACUGUAUUUAACACAGUAUCUCAGUUCAGUAGUUUAUUUUCUACCCCAACUUUAGUGUUUAGAUUUCUAAAUCACUACAGCAAUUUAAUAAGAAAGCAAGUCUGACUACCUGAAAUUAAAACUAAAAGCUAAUUUUACCAUACCACUGUAUAGACAAAAAACAGAUGACAGUGUUUAGAAAGUUGGAUACUGAUGACCACACAUAGAAAUUGAAUUAAAAACUGAGAUUAUAUCAAUUGUUUUUAUUAGAUAUCAGCAGUUUACAAAUUUGAAUUAAGAAAAUUACAGAACAGAAUUAACUUGAAUUAAUUCUUGGUUGUAAAGUUUUUUCUUUAAGGUCAUAAUAAUUUUUAUGCAGGAUGUCAUCAGCAAUAAAUUCUAGACUGUCUAAAACACAGCCCCACUAUUUCCUUUUUCAGUAAUUGAUAGUUUAUCAAAAAUCUAAGAUUGUGCUAAACAUUUUAACAAGUAUUUAAUUAACUACUCUAUUAGGCCCUUAGUAUAUUUCAAGUUUUUUUUUUUCAAUUUUUACACAAUACAGAAUUUUUAAAAGCACUUAAGGAUUCCAUAUUGCAAUUUUUUUUUUUUUUUGGUAACUUUCAAAACUAGGAAUAAAUAGACAGUCCCCACAACAAGGUGAAA